Molecule: long non-coding RNA, 1292 nt
Filed under: Daucus carota (carrot)
Lineage: Eukaryota; Viridiplantae; Streptophyta; Magnoliopsida; Apiales; Apiaceae
Description: long non-coding RNA (DCAR_LNC002986)
Source: RNAcentral
UGGUGCAGAGUAUAAAUGUAUUGAAAUGGAAAAUUCAUAAGUAAAUAAUCACUUAAAUGUUCAAAACCGAAGAUGACUAAUGCUUAAGCCUCCUACGUACGAUCUUCCUACAAGGCUUAGGAUGUUUGCAGAGUCGAAACUGAAAACAGAGAAGCUGAAGAAGAAUCGAAAAGAAAGAUGCUUCAUAUGACAGUCUAGAAUCAGAAUACCACUAAUUGGUAUCUACCCGAUUGCAGGUACCAAUCGUGCCCCCCACUGUCCCUGCAUAUGCCCCAUAGUACUGAAAUCUGUUAAGAAACCAUAGUUGACAAUUUCAGCUAGUGUUAAAAUAACUAUGAAGUCAACAAAUCUAACCAAUCAUAGCAAGGGAGGUAUGAAAGCCACGUUAUUUGUAGUUUAAACUCAUUCCAAAGGACUGCUUAAAUGCUGUUAAACUAGCACAAAUAAUUUUCAGAUGGCAUCUUACCAAACAAGUUGCUGAAACAAUAAUAAUCAAUUUGCUCAGUACACAAGGCUCCCGAGUUCCGAAUUGCCUUGCCCUUAUUCCUUUUUUAUAAAAAGCUAACAAACUUCAUAGACAACACUUAACAGGGAGAGAAGGUUCGGAGAGAUGAAGCAUUUUAGCCAUCCCCACGUUCUGCAUCUCGCGGAAGUAGACGAAGGAGAUGAAAUAGUUUGCUCAGGCUGUGAGCAGUACAUUUCAGGCUAUGUUGUGAGCUGCACCAACUCAGAAUGCAGCUUCUAUCUUCACCAAUCUUGCUACAGCUUGUCAAGAACCAUCAAACAUCCAUCUCACCCGGCCCACCAUCUGACCCUGGUUACGCAAUCUCCCUAUGAAAUCGGUGAGUUCGUUUGUGAUGCUUGCGGUGACCAGGGAAGUGCCUUCCAUUUUCACUGCUCCACCUGCAAGUUUGAUCUGGACCUCAAUUGUGCACUUCGUCGCCAGGCUGUGACUCGCGGCACGGGUCAUGUGGUGAUCAACACGGCUCAUUCGUCCUCCGUUUCGAAUCGAAGAAGAUCGGCCUGCUAAUGUUGCUUUGAAUCUGCUCUUGCAAUGAUUUUUAUGUUUGAAUCUGAUCCUCUUUGUAUUGAAUCUACUUCAUCCUGUUUUCUUAUCCGGGUCCAGGUCCAGGUCCUAAUAUAUGUAUGCUGGGGACCGUUAAAAAACAUACAGGUUCCUCGCAGUUGGAUGAAUAUCCAGGGGUCUGGAUAUUUAUCCAACGGACAGGAAUCUGUGUGUUUUUAACAGGUCCCUUCUUAUCCAGCAGAUCAAAAUUAUUAUUCAUGUGCCU